UACGUAGGGGGCAAGCGUUGUCCGGAUUUAUUGGGCGUAAAGAGCGUGUAGGCGGCCUGACAAGUCUGCUGUGAAAACUCGAGGCUCAACCUCGAGAUGUCGGCGGAAACUGUCUGGCUAGAGUCCGGAAGAGGAGAGUGGAAUUCCUGGUGUAGCGGUGAAAUGCGCAGAUAUCAGGAAGAACACCUAUGGCGAAGGCAGCUCUCUGGGACGGUACCGACGCUGAGACGCGAAAGCGUGGGGAGCGAACAGG
This 253-nucleotide ribosomal RNA is filed under the name uncultured bacterium. RNAcentral's name for it is "partial 16S ribosomal RNA". It matches the Rfam family "Bacterial small subunit ribosomal RNA", at positions 524 to 776 of the family's 1533-position model. The record is from RNAcentral.